ACAUGCAAGUCGAGCGGACAGAAGGGAGCUUGCUCCCGGAUGUUAGCGGCGGACGGGUGAGUAACACGUGGGUAACCUGCCUGUAAGACUGGGAUAACUCCGGGAAACCGGAGCUAAUACCGGAUAGUUCCUUGAACCGCAUGGUUCAAGGAUGAAAGACGGUUUCGGCUGUCACUUACAGAUGGACCCGCGGCGCAUUAGCUAGUUGGUGGGGUAAUGGCUCACCAAGGCGACGAUGCGUAGCCAACCUGAGAGGGUGAUCGGCCACACUGGGACUGAGACACGGCCCAAACUCCUACGGGAGGCAGCAGUAGGGAAUCUUCCGCAAUGGACGAAAGUCUGACGGAGCAACGCCGCGUGAGUGAUGAAGGUUUUCGGAUCGUAAAGCUCUGUUGUUAGGGAAGAACAAGUGCGAGAGUAACUGCUCGCACCUUGACGGUACCUAACCAGAAAGCCACGGCUAACUACGUGCCAGCAGCCCCGGUAAUACGUAGGUGGCAAGCGUUGUCCGGAAUUAUUGGGCGUAAAGGGCUCGCAGGCGGUUUCUUAAGUCUGAUGUGAAAGCCCCCGGCUCAACCGGGGAGGGUCAUUGGAAACUGGGAAACUUGAGUGCAGAAAAGGAGAGUGGAAUUCCACGUGUACCGGUGAAAUGCGUAGAGAUGUGGAGGAACACCAGUGGCGAAGGCGACUCUCUGGUCUGUAACUGACGCUGAGGAGCGAAAGCGUGGGGAGCGAACAGGAUUAGAUACCCUGGUAGUCCACGCCGUAAACGAUGAGUGCUAAGUGUUAGGGGGUUUCCGCCCCUUAGUGCUGCAGCUAACGCAUUAAGCACUCCGCCUGGGGAGUACGGUCGCAAGACUGAAACUCAAAGGAAUUGACGGGGGCCCGCACAAGCGGUGGAGCAUGUGGUUUAAUUCGAAGCAACGCGAAGAACCUUACCAGGUCUUGACAUCCUCUGACAACCCUAGAGAUAGGGCUUUCCCUUCGGGGACAGAGUGACAGGUGGUGCAUGGUUGUCGUCAGCUCGUGUCGUGAGAUGUUGGGUUAAGUCCCGCAACGAGCGCAACCCUUGAUCUUAGUUGCCAGCAUUCAGUUGGGCACUCUAAGGUGACUGCCGGUGACAAACCGGAGGAAGGUGGGGAUGACGUCAAAUCAUCAUGCCCCUUAUGACCUGGGCUACACACGUGCUACAAUGGACAGAACAAAGGGCUGCGAGACCGCAAGGUUUAGCCAAUCCCAUAAAUCUGUUCUCAGUUCGGAUCGCAGUCUGCAACUAGACUGCGUGAAGCUGGAAUCGCUAGUAAUCGCGGAUCAGCAUGCCGCGGUGAAUACGUUCCCGGGCCUUGUACACACCGCCCGUCACACCACGAGAGUUUGUAACACCCGAAGUCGGUGAGGUAACCUUUAUGGAGCCAGCCGCCGAAG
RNAcentral lists this ribosomal RNA (1425 nucleotides) under Bacillus pumilus. Its description in RNAcentral is "16S ribosomal RNA". It matches the Rfam family "Bacterial small subunit ribosomal RNA". The record is from RNAcentral. Lineage: Bacteria; Bacillati; Bacillota; Bacilli; Caryophanales; Bacillaceae.